GCCGGUGUGGCUCAAUGGAUUGAGCGUCGGCCUGUGGACGGAAGGGUUCUGGUUCGAUUCCGGUCAAGGGCA
This 72-nucleotide transfer RNA is filed under the name Myotis lucifugus (little brown bat). It matches the Rfam family "tRNA". Rfam says of the family: Transfer RNA (tRNA) molecules are approximately 80 nucleotides in length. Their secondary structure includes four short double-helical elements and three loops (D, anti-codon, and T loops). Lineage: Eukaryota; Metazoa; Chordata; Mammalia; Chiroptera; Vespertilionidae. The record is from Rfam by way of RNAcentral.